AGCGAACGCUGGCGGCAGGCCUAACACAUGCAAGUCGAACGAACCUUUCGGGGUUAGUGGUGGACGGGGGAGUAACACGUGGGAACGUGCCUUUAGGUUCGGAAUAACUCAGGGAAACUUGUGCUAAUACCGAAUGUGCCCUUCGGGGGAAAGAGUUAUCGCCUUUAGAGCGGCCCGCGUCUGAUUAGCUAGUUGGUUGAGGUAAUGGCUCACCAAGGCGACGAUCAGUAGCUGGUCUGAGAGGCUGAUCAGCCACAUUGGGACUGAGACACGGCCCAAACUCCUACGGGAGGCAGCAGUGGGGAAUCUUGCGCAAUGGGGGAAGGCCUGACGCAGCCAUGCCGGGUGAAUGAUGAAGGUCGUAGGAUUGUAAAAUUCUUUAACCGGGGACGAUAAUGACGGUACCCGGAGAAGAAGCCCCGGCUAACUUCGUG
RNAcentral lists this ribosomal RNA (434 nucleotides) under uncultured bacterium. Its description in RNAcentral is "partial 16S ribosomal RNA". It matches the Rfam family "Bacterial small subunit ribosomal RNA", at positions 29 to 507 of the family's 1533-position model. The record is from RNAcentral.